GAGAGCAGCGAGCGGGGGAGCCGCGCUGCCAGCAGCAGCCGCCGCCUCACGCUGCGGCACCGGCCCGGCCAGCGCAGGUGGCAGUGUAGAAGCCAAGAACAAGAAUUGGCAGAAAUUGUGCUCUGUGUACGAGACUAUGAAGAGUGUACUCAUGACUAAGCACAGGAACCUGGAAAACCACAGGUGAUGGAGAGACAUCUCCUGCUGUAACCAGUGCUGGAAGGGAGCAUUUGGUGACCUCCCAACCACAUGCCAAAGUGGCACACAGCAGCAGGAGUCUGGGCUGUCUUCUCAUGGUGGGGAAGUGCUGGUGACACAAAGGCUCCCAAAAGAGUGCUGGAAGCAGCACAUGAAUUCCAUGGGAAAAAGGA
Melozone crissalis (California towhee) is the source of this 371-nucleotide long non-coding RNA. RefSeq lists it as uncharacterized. The transcript is spliced from 3 exons. NCBI's taxonomy places the organism in Eukaryota, Metazoa, Chordata, Aves, Passeriformes, Passerellidae. The record is from RefSeq and is a predicted model, not a curated record.